UACAGAGGUCUCAAGCGUUGUUCGGAUUCAUUGGGCGUAAAGGGUGCGUAGGCGGCGAGGUAAGUCGGAUGUGAAAUCCCGGGGCUCAACCCCGGAACUGCAUUCGAUACUGCUUUACUUGAGGACUGGAGAGGAGAUUGGAAUUCACGGUGUAGCAGUGAAAUGCGUAGAUAUCGUGAGGAAGACCAGUGGCGAAGGCGAAUCUCUGGACAGAUCCUGACGCUGAGGCACGAAGGCUAGGGGAGCAAACGGG
This 253-nucleotide ribosomal RNA is filed under the name uncultured bacterium. Its description in RNAcentral is "partial 16S ribosomal RNA". It matches the Rfam family "Bacterial small subunit ribosomal RNA", at positions 524 to 776 of the family's 1533-position model. The record is from RNAcentral.